GUCCACGCCCUAAACGAUGUCUACUAGUUGUCGGGUCUUAAUUGACUUGGUAACGCAGCUAACGCGUGAAGUAGACCGCCUGGGGAGUACGGUCGCAAGAUUAAAACUCAAAGGAAUUGACGGGGACCCGCACAAGCGGUGGAUGAUGUGGAUUAAUUCGAUGCAACGCGAAAAACCUUACCUACCCUUGACAUGGCUGGAAUCCUCGAGAGAUUGAGUAGUGCUCGAAAGAGAACCAGUACACAGGUGCUGCAUGGCUGUCGU
This 264-nucleotide ribosomal RNA is filed under the name uncultured bacterium. RNAcentral describes it as "partial 16S ribosomal RNA". It matches the Rfam family "Bacterial small subunit ribosomal RNA", at positions 793 to 1055 of the family's 1533-position model. The record is from RNAcentral.